RNAcentral lists this ribosomal RNA (566 nucleotides) under Salmonella enterica subsp. enterica serovar Typhimurium. Its description in RNAcentral is "partial 23S ribosomal RNA". It matches the Rfam family "Bacterial large subunit ribosomal RNA", at positions 1 to 597 of the family's 2925-position model. The record is from RNAcentral. Lineage: Bacteria; Pseudomonadati; Pseudomonadota; Gammaproteobacteria; Enterobacterales; Enterobacteriaceae.
GGGUUGUGAGGUUAAGCGACUAAGCGUACACGGUGGAUGCCCUGGCAGUCAGAGGCGAUGAAGGACGUGCUAAUCUGCGAUAAGCGCCGGUAAGGUGAUAUGAACCGUUAUAACCGGCGAUUUCCGAAUGGGGAAACCCAGUGUGAUUCGUCACACUAUCAUUAACUGAAUCCAUAGGUUAAUGAGGCGAACCGGGGGAACUGAAACAUCUAAGUACCCCGAGGAAAAGAAAUCAACCGAGAUUCCCCCAGUAGCGGCGAGCGAACGGGGAGGAGCCCAGAGCCUGAAUCAGCAUGUGUGUUAGUGGAAGCGUCUGGAAAGGCGCGCGAUACAGGGUGACAGCCCCGUACACAAAAGCGCAUGUGCUGUGAGCUCGAUGAGUAGGGCGGGACACGUGGUAUCCUGUCUGAAUAUGGGGGGACCAUCCUCCAAGGCUAAAUACUCCUGACUGACCGAUAGUGAACCAGUACCGUGAGGGAAAGGCGAAAAGAACCCCGGCGAGGGGAGUGAAAAAGAACCUGAAACCGUGUACGUACAAGCAGUGGGAGCACCCUUCGGGGUGUGAC